UUGCGGCCUUAUAACGUUGAAACAUCGGUUCUCGUACGAUCACCGAAGAUAAGCAACGUCGACCCUGGUCAGUAACUAGAUUGGCGACCGCUUGGGGAUACCAGGUGCUGUAAG
Molecule: non-coding RNA, 114 nt
Organism: Acanthosepion pharaonis
Lineage: Eukaryota; Metazoa; Mollusca; Cephalopoda; Sepiida; Sepiidae
Source: the annotation of a GenBank genome assembly